RNAcentral lists this long non-coding RNA (1583 nucleotides) under Amborella trichopoda. RNAcentral describes it as "long non-coding RNA (ATRI_LNC001935)". The record is from RNAcentral. Lineage: Eukaryota; Viridiplantae; Streptophyta; Magnoliopsida; Amborellales; Amborellaceae.
AACAACAUCGAAGUCACACAGAUUGAAGUAAACAUAGCUCACUUUAUUAAUUUUCACAGCAUAACAAAGGACCAAAGGCAACUAAGGAAAAAAAAACAAAGUUCGACAUCAAGCAACAUGAUGGGGACUGUUUUGAUAUAUAUAGUUUUCAUUCCGUACAUGAAAGGCCAACAUGGAAGCUGAGCAGCAGCCUUGAAUGGAUUAAGGAAGGAUUAACAUAUGAGUCAAUGUUGUCAUUCGUGCAAGGGUACUUCCAACUUCAAAAGGGCUUGCUAUUGUCAACUCUACCCCAAACAACAAUAACAAAUUUCAAAUUUUAGGUGAAUCACUCUUGAAAAUUUGAUGCAUAUUCUACUCCAACAAAAUAAUGAAUUUGAUUUGAAAUUAACCAAGCAACUAGAUUAGAUCAUUUAUGCGAAUGACAUUGAAGACAAUAAAUCAAACAAUUAGUGCACUUCAUACACAUUAUGAAUCCCCUUGAAGAACUAUGUAUUCCACAUUCAUGAUAAUCAUGAAGGCUUUCCAUGACUUCUACUGUUCUUAGAGCAAGGCUGCAAUCUCAUCUUAACUAAAAAUGGAUGUCGGUUGAUCCCUCUCUUGCUGCCCAAAAUUAAGAUGUCAUUCAUAUGACCCUUUCAUUGAUAUUUCCACCUACCUUGGGGGUGUGUGUGUGUGUGUGUGUGUGUGUGAGAGAGAGAGAGAGAGAGAGAGAGAGAGAGGGGAUAUUGAGCGAUAGAGAAAGAGAGAAGGGAAGAGUUCUAGAGAGAGACAGAGUGAGAAUAUUUUCUUAGACCCCCUAUUUCCUGAUUCUGUGGGUUUUGGGAUCACCCUUUUCCACUCAUUUACCCCAUGUUUCUAAUGGGUUCAGAAUCUCUCUUUGCAUUUGAUGAAUCAAAGAAGUAAAAUCAUAAUAAAGCAAGAUAGAGAAACAGUUAGCGCGCCAAACUGCAUAAGAAAGAAUCAAAGAAGUAAAAUCAUAGUCAAGCAAGAUAGAGAAACAGUUAAAGCGCCAAACUGCCUAAGAGGGCAAAAUCAUAGUCAAGAAAUAGACCAUAAAAAUCUGGUUUUUCUAUCUAGAUCAUAUCCCAACAAAUCUGGUUUUUUCUCUAGAUCAUAAUCAAGAAAGAGAGCAAAUUUAUAGUCAAGAAAGACCCAUGAAAACCCCUGAAAUCAGAGAGAGAAACCGUUAAGAGUACCAAAACUGUGUAAGAGAAAAAGCAAAAUUAUACCCAAGAAUGGACAGGAAAAUGACAGUCAAGAUUGAAUACCUGUUUGUCCCUAUAAGUAGUGAGAAUUUGUAUUUCCUUGUUUAGUUGGAAUGAGAAAGAGAGAUCUUGAGAGAGAGAAGUCUCUUGUUCCUGGAAAAGAGAGAGAGAUCUCUUGGAACGGGAAAAGGAAGAGAGAGAGAAAAAUAGGCGUUCUUAGAGUGAGAGAGAGCUCUGUGUUGGGGCAAGGGUAGAGAGAGAGAGAGCGGGACAAUGGAGGGAUGUUUUGUUUACAAGACUGGCGGGAGAGAAUUCCCGUGCAAAUUAUUUUUAAUAAAAAAACAAAACAAAAAGAGGUUCAUUGAAUGAAUAUUUUUU